UACGUAGGGUGCAAGCGUUGUCCGGAAUUAUUGGGCGUAAAGAGCUCGUAGGCGGUCUGUCGCGUCUGCUGUGAAAACUCGGGGCUUAACCCCGGGCCUGCAGUGGGUACGGGCAGACUAGAGUGCGGUAGGGGAGACUGGAAUUCCUGGUGUAGCGGUGAAAUGCGCAGAUAUCAGGAGGAACACCGGUGGCGAAGGCGGCUCGCUGGGACGUUACUGACGCUGAGACGCGAAAGCGUGGGGAGCAAACAGG
This 253-nucleotide ribosomal RNA is filed under the name uncultured bacterium. RNAcentral's name for it is "partial 16S ribosomal RNA". It matches the Rfam family "Bacterial small subunit ribosomal RNA", at positions 524 to 776 of the family's 1533-position model. The record is from RNAcentral.